AGAGUUUGAUCCUGGCUCAGAACGUACGCUGGCGGCACGCCUAACACAUGCAAGUCGAACGAAGUAGCAAUACUUAGUGGCAGACGGGUGAGUAACAUGUAGGUAUCUGCCCUUUGGCCUGGAAUAACACGAGGAAACUUGUGCUAAUACCGGAUAAGUCUUUACGGAGAAAGCUUUAUGCACCAUUGGAUGAGCCUGCACUUGAUUAGUUUGUUGGUGGGGUAAUGGCCUACCAAGACUGUGAUCAAUAGCUGAUUUGAGAGGAUGAUCAGCCACAUUGGGACUGAGACACGGCCCAAACUCCUACGGGAGGCAGCAGUGGGGAAUCUUGCACAAUGGAGGAAACUCUGAUGCAGCGAUGCCGCGUGAGUGAAGAAGGCCCUUGGGUUGUAAAGCUCUUUCGUCGGGGAAGAAAAUGACUGUACCCGAAUAAGAAGGUCCGGCUAACUUCGUGCCAGCAGCCGCGGUAAUACGAAGGGACCUAGCGUAGUUCGGAAUUACUGGGCUUAAAGAGUUCGUAGGUGGUUGAAAAAGUUAGUGGUGAAAUCCCAGAGCUUAACUCUGGAACUGCCAUUAAAACUUUUCAGCUAGAGUAUGAUAGAGGAAAGCAGAAUUUCUAGUGUAGAGGUGAAAUUCGUAGAUAUUAGAAAGAAUACCAAUUGCGAAGGCAGCUUUCUGGAUCAUUACUGACACUGAGGAACGAAAGCAUGGGUAGCGAAGAGGAUUAGAUACCCUCGUAGUCCAUGCCGUAAACGAUGUGUGUUAGACGUUGGAAAUUUAUUUUCAGUGUCGCAGCGAAAGCGAUAAACACACCGCCUGGGGAGUACGACCGCAAGGUUAAAACUCAAAUGAAUUGACGGGGACCCGCACAAGUAGUGGAGCAUGUGGUUUAAUUCGAAGAUACGCGCAGAACCUUACCAACACUUGACAUGUUCGUCGCGACUCUAAGAGAUUAGAGUUUUCGGUUCGGCCGGACGAAACACAGGUGCUGCAUGGCUGUCGUCAGCUCGUGUCGUGAGAUGUUGGGUUAAGUCCCGCAACGAGCGCAACCCUCACUUUUAGUUGCCAUCAUUAAGUUGGGCACUCUGAAAGAACUGCCAGUGAUAAGCUGGAGGAAGGUGGGGAUGACGUCAAGUCCUCAUGGCCCUUACGUGUUGGGCUACACACGUGCUACAAUGGUAUCUACAACAGGAAGCAAGACUGCGAAGUUAAGCAAAUCCCUAAAAGAUACCUCAGUUCGGAUUGCACUCUGCAACUCGAGUGCAUGAAGCUGGAAUUACUAGUAAUCGUGGAUCAGCGUGCCACGGUGAAUGCGUUCCCGGGUCUUGUACACACCGCCCGUCACACCAUGGGAGUUGGUUCUACCUUAAGGCAAGGUUUUAAACCCUUGACCACGGUAUAGUCAGCGACUGGGGUGAAGUCGUAACAAGGU
This 1432-nucleotide ribosomal RNA is filed under the name uncultured Pelagibacterales bacterium. RNAcentral's name for it is "uncultured SAR11 cluster alpha proteobacterium 16S ribosomal RNA". It matches the Rfam family "Bacterial small subunit ribosomal RNA". Lineage: Bacteria; Pseudomonadati; Pseudomonadota; Alphaproteobacteria; Candidatus Pelagibacterales. The record is from RNAcentral.